UUCGUUGGUGAACCAGCGGAGGGAUCAUUGCUGGAACGCGCCCCGGCGCACCCAGAAACCCUUUGUGAACUUAUACCUACUGUUGCCUCGGCGUCAGGCCGGCCUCCUCACCGAGGCCCCCCGGAGACGGGGAGCAGCCCGCCGGCGGCCAACCAAACUCUUGUUUCUAGUGAAUCUCUGAGUAAAAAACACAAAUGAAUCAAAACUUUCAACAACGGAUCUCUUGGUUCUGGCAUCGAUGAAGAACGCAGCGAAAUGCGAUAAGUAAUGUGAAUUGCAGAAUUCAGUGAAUCAUCGAAUCUUUGAACGCACAUUGCGCCCCCUGGUAUUCCGGGGGGCAUGCCUGUUCGAGCGUCAUUUCAACCCUCAAGCCUGGCUUGGUGAUGGGGCACUGCUCCGAGAGGAGCAGGCCCUGAAAUCCAGCGGCGCACCACCGUGGAAAACCGAGCGUAGUAUCAUAUCUCGCCCGGUACGCCCACGGCGGCCCUGCCGUUAAACCCCCAACUUCUGAAAAUUUGACCUCGGAUCAGGUAGGAAUACCCGCUGAACUUAAACA
Molecule: ribosomal RNA, 556 nt
Filed under: fungal endophyte sp. M3-3111
Lineage: Eukaryota; Fungi
Description: eukaryotic LSU rRNA
Rfam family: 5.8S ribosomal RNA (bases 204-357)
Source: RNAcentral